Long non-coding RNA from Oncorhynchus keta (chum salmon), 507 nucleotides. RefSeq lists it as uncharacterized. The record is from RefSeq and is a predicted model, not a curated record. The transcript has 2 exons. NCBI's taxonomy places the organism in Eukaryota, Metazoa, Chordata, Actinopteri, Salmoniformes, Salmonidae.
GAGAUCUCCAGAUCCACACGGUUCUUCUCAUCAUUCAGCUUGACUGACAAUCGAGGAUCCAGACCUGGAGCCCGUGAUGGAGACCCGACACCAUGCAGGAUAAGCAGGAUAUACUGAGGAGCUGAUCCAGGGUUCUGGAGAUACCAUUGAAGAGAGACUGCAGAUGAGUAGGUGCAUGAAAGUGUAAUAUUUCUACCUGCUGGAGCAUACACCUCCUCUCUGAUUGGUUCAAUGGUCUGACCAUUACUGUCACCUGCAAGAGAUGCAAAGGCACCAGAGUUGGCAGAAGGACCUGACCUGUCUACUGUGAUGUCAUACGGAAAACAUUGCUUGAAGGGCAUAUCUGUAAGAUAUGUAGACAGGAAUUAAUAGACAUGCAUUUUUGUUUUCAUCUUUAUAGCUUUAUUUACAGUUUAAACCGGCAACAUAUUCGGAUAACCGAAUGAGUUUCUGUCACUUUUUAAUCUGUUCAUUUGUUUCAACAAAUAAUUCACUGUUCAUUUCCAA